This 3814-nucleotide small RNA is filed under the name Rattus norvegicus (Norway rat). Its description in RNAcentral is "uncharacterized LOC108349564". Lineage: Eukaryota; Metazoa; Chordata; Mammalia; Rodentia; Muridae. The record is from RNAcentral.
UUGGGGAGAAGAUUGCGGGUUGCCGUGGGUGUGGGCCCUGGGGUUCCUCUCCUGGGACCCACCGUGGCUAUCUCCUUCCGUCCUCCCACCCCCCCGCCACAAACUUUCCCAGGUUUGUUUCGGGGGUAAGCGUGGGAGGGGUCACCUCCAAGUUUCCUUUACUGACUUUGGGACGAUCACCGUCUCAGCACCCGGCGUCUCGCCCCCUUGGGCUCCUGGCCGCGCCCCCCACCCACGGCGUCGGAGGUUUCUAAGGCGGGAACGGGGGAGGGAGAAGAAACUCCGGCUCCCCUACCCAUCCCCCGCCGGGGUGCGCCCAGGACUGGGGAGGUUGCCCCAGAUGCUCCUGGCUUAGGGGCAGUUGUGGACGAAAGGGAUUGAUUAUUGAUUGGGUGAUUGGGGUCGCAGAGGUUCCGGGCAGACUUGGCCGAUGUGCCCCGUGAAGGAGGCGGCUGGAAGGCUGUGGUGGCGACCGGGCGACGUGGGCUCACUUACUCUGGUGACCAGGAGACCAAGAUCUCACCCUACCGGUAAGAUCAAAAGUCUCCGCUCGCCCCCGGCCGGCUGGCUUGGGCUGGGUCCAGACGCCUCCCUGAAUGCAGAUGUGUAGCUGCUGUCCUCCCGGGCUAUAAAGCCGGCUCCAGUGCCCAGGCGCUCGGGAGUUGAAUUAACCCGGCGUGGAUCCCGGGCGGAGCCGAGAGCCAGAGGCAGGUUGCGGCUGAGCUCCAGUGCUGCAUGUGUGUGUCGCGUACUCGUGGGUGGGUGCGCCUGGGGUGCUUGGUGCCUGCGGCCGCAGAGGCCGAAACGGCGUCUCGUCCAGGCCGGGGAGACGCGGGCUCCGGCGCUUAAAGCUUCUUUCCAGCGAGGAAUCGGUGAGUCGGUUGGCCUCGCCGUUGGCCUCACAGUUCAGGUGACCACGGCACCCCUCUGACCUGGAGGAGGGUCGUUGUCCCUGGAGGCCAGACCCAGAAGGUCCGGGGCUCACAUUCAAAGCGCGGAGAGCGCAUUUAGGCACGCCGGCGGCGGCGACGUGCUCACAGCCUUGGGCACCGCGCACGGGGAGUUCGCCCAAAGGAUGCUUCCCUCUCCCUUUGCUUCCUUUUGGUGCUCUCUCAACCUUCGUUCCCUCGCUACCCACCUCCACCCCUCAUACCCUCGUGCAGUGGCUCAAGCACCGGUCCCCUAUCGCCUGUCGGCACCCCUGCUCACCAGUGCCUAGCCCUCCCUGCUCAGGCGCCGCGCACUGUGUGAUCCGCCCUAACAUCUGUCCGUCCAACCAUUGGCGCAUCCAUCAGUGUCAAUGGGCUGCACAUUGCAGCGACAGCCUGUCACGCACAACACGGGCUGUACGGAGUGCACACUGCGACCACACUUCCUUGCCCGGUGGGGCACUCAAACAGACUCGGCCGUUUUGGCACUGCCUGGAUUCCUAUUUCCGCUGAGUUCUUUUAGCUACAUGCACCCAUUCACCCUUAAUUUGGGGGACCACAACAUGUGCACAGCUUUUCAGGUCGUUGUACGGAUGGAACAUUGGAACAUCGAAAGUGGGCAAGGUCAACCUACUCCUUAUAUUUCACUAGGAUUUAUCUUCCCUUCUGCUGUAAGGCUGGGUGUAACUAAAAGAAAAGGGUUCCCCAGAUUCUCACCCAACACAAAGUCGACCCUGAAUGCGGGACCUUAACUCCCUCAACCUGUGCUAGGUGCUGGGUUGUGGAGUCUGCCCCUUUGCAUCUAGCAAGAUUUCAACAGCAACAAAAACUUUGUAUAGCCAGGGCUGACUGCUGCUUCCCAGGGCCUGACCUGGAGAAAUGCCGACUAAUGGACUCUCAGUGAGAGCAAAGGACUCUGUUUAGGAAGAAAUGGCGUCUAGUAGUAGUAACUCUGAAAUCCACGUGUCAUUACAGAAAAAAAAAAAAAAGGGCAGGGCCAUAUGUUUGAGAAACCAGAGCUUGCAGAUAGUUCGCGGCUGCGGAGGCUGCAGUUACGAGUUUUUCCUAUUGUACUUCUUGGCUUCCGGCUCCUUCUGGAUCUACUCAGAUGGUAAACACAUAAGCACAGGUGUUCCGGACGAGUCUGUCCCUCCCAGAGGCCUUUCUCCAAGAACCUCGGGGGAAGGGUAUGUUCGGAAGGGGGUCCUACUCCUCUGACAUCUGAAUGAAGACUACCUAACAUUUGACCUGAUUUUAUUAUUGUAAAUGUUUUCUGUCGACUCUCCCGGCGGCAAGCAACUCUUUCUGCAGUUCAUAUCGCCGUUAGGGGAUUCGGAAGGGAGUAGAGCCCUGUUCAGGCAAGCGCUAAGGGUUGCUAGGUACUGGGAAAGGCCAGAGAAGGGUUACUCAGGAAAGUAACCCGUGCUGUAGGAUGUCAGCUCCCCACACCGCAUCCAGUGGUCCAGCUGUUUUCACACUCUACUAGAGGGCGGGAAAGCCUGAGCAUGGUAGAGGAUGUAGGAUUCUGUGAAGGAUAUACUGUAUAGAAACUGUUCACUCGACGCGGUUAUCUUUUAAAAGCAAAAAGGGGCUUUCAGCGUCUGUGCAAAUACCUAGGAACUUCUAGUCCACUUUGAAUUGUGCCCGGUAGUAAAUGUACUAGGUUAAAUAAGUCUACCUUUGGGAGGUGAGGCGUUUCUGAGAAUAAUUUUUUAAGCCCCUAAAAAUAGAAGGAGGAAGGAAGGAGCUGAAUAAAGAGAAACACCUAAGCGCCCAGUGCCAAAAGCCCAUGGGGGAAACUGGGAGCUGGCAUCUCGGUCAGGAGACUCACCUUGAAAUUAGGUGGUCAGACUAUGACCCCUUCACAUUCCCAGGAACUAAGCUGGCAAUCUUGACCACCCUGAGACUACAUCUAAGACUCAGUGAGUAAUCCGAUACCUCCUGAUGAGUCUCCAGAAGACUCCCAGAGAGAGUUAUCUAGGUCAAGGGUUGCACACCCUACCCAGCGUUUCCAAUCUCGAGCCUUAGAUUUCCAUCCCUGGAACCUUUUAUCCUAAGUUUCAUCCACCUUGGCUACUUGAGCCCCUGGAGGGUGGGGUAUAUCAAUUAGAGAUGUGGCUCAAAACAAUGUUCUGAGGAGCAAGGAGCCUACCCCCAGCCCAGUAUGAUGUGGACAGUUAUAUAAUGGGAAGUUGUGGCUUGUCUAAUACCUGGAGCCCAGUUUGUGUUCUAGGUGGCCGCUGAGGGUAGUUAAAUGACAGCCCUGCUGGUCCUAGGAAGGCUGGAGUGUGUCUCAAGUUGAGUGCCCACCAAAAAGAAAAGGAUAUCCUGAAUGUCAUCAUUCCAGGACAAGGAGCUAGGGCUGGCUGGUGUUUCCCAGUCACGUGGGCCUAAGCUCUGACCUCAGAUGGGGGUACAUGCUGAGUACUCCUCGGAAAUAUCAUCUUGAAGGACAAGGACUCCGGGAACCUUUGGUGAUGAUGGCAUGGGCCUUUGGCAACAAUCCAGGGGUGGGCCCUGGCAAGGGCUCCCAGCACUAAUUCAUCUCCAGCCUGAAAUGGUCGGGAAGUCUGGUGGACCUGCCUUUUUUUUUUUUUUCUCCUCACUUUUCUGGUUUAGGCACUGAUAGAAAAAUGCCAUGGGUCCCAAGACUCCUACUGCUCACUGUUGGCCUCGGCCUGGCACUGGGCUCAGUCCCUAACAAAGCUGGAGGUUAGGAUGACCUGAGUCAGGCUUUAGCCUGUUUGCUGAAGGUGCUUUCUCACAGCAGCGAAGUUUGUUUCUCUUUUCCCUGGUAGCUUUGUUUUAAGAAACCAGAUGUCUUGUUUGUAAAUUCUCCCUAAGAACGUUUACAGUCUGGACUCGAAAUAAACCUUUGAAAAUCA